Molecule: ribosomal RNA, 168 nt
Filed under: Triticum aestivum (bread wheat)
Lineage: Eukaryota; Viridiplantae; Streptophyta; Magnoliopsida; Poales; Poaceae
Description: partial small subunit ribosomal RNA
Source: RNAcentral
CCCCUUGUGUCUUACCAAGGACUGAGUUCCCACUUGUGGCGAAAAAAAAAGUAUACCAUCCCACCCGGCCUAACCCGGGGGGUUAAGGUUCCUCUCGGAGACUGCCAGUCUACAAGAAGUUGGCAGAGCUUUAGCCAUUGGACCACAUCCAUCCAUCCUCCUACCUAA